This 1499-nucleotide ribosomal RNA is filed under the name metagenome. Its description in RNAcentral is "bacterial SSU rRNA". It matches the Rfam family "Bacterial small subunit ribosomal RNA". The record is from RNAcentral.
GAGUCUGAUCAUGGCUCAGAUUGAACGCUGGCGGCAGGCCUAACACAUGCAAGUCGAACGGUAACAGGAAGCAGCUUGCUGCUUCGCUGACGAGUGGCGGACGGGUGAGUAAUGUCUGGGAAGCUGCCUGAUGGAGGGGGAUAACUACUGGAAACGGUAGCUAAUACCGCAUAAUGUCGCAAGACCAAAGAGGGGGACCUUCGGGCCUCUUGCCAUCGGAUGUGCCCAGAUGGGAUUAGCUUGUUGGUGGGGUAACGGCUCACCAAGGCGACGAUCCCUAGCUGGUCUGAGAGGAUGACCAGCCACACUGGAACUGAGACACGGUCCAGACUCCUACGGGAGGCAGCAGUGGGGAAUAUUGCACAAUGGGCGCAAGCCUGAUGCAGCCAUGCCGCGUGUAUGAAGAAGGCCUUCGGGUUGUAAAGUACUUUCAGCGGGGAGGAAGGGAGUAAAGUUAAUACCUUUGCUCAUUGACGUUACCCGCAGAAGAAGCACCGGCUAACUCCGUGCCAGCAGCCGCGGUAAUACGGAGGGUGCAAGCGUUAAUCGGAAUUACUGGGCGUAAAGCGCACGCAGGCGGUUUGUUAAGUCAGAUGUGAAAUCCCCGGGCUCAACCUGGGAACUGCAUCUGAUACUGGCAAGCUUGAGUCUCGUAGAGGGGGGUAGAAUUCCAGGUGUAGCGGUGAAAUGCGUAGAGAUCUGGAGGAAUACCGGUGGCGAAGGCGGCCCCCUGGACGAAGACUGACGCUCAGGUGCGAAAGCGUGGGGAGCAAACAGGAUUAGAUAGCCUGGUAGUCCACGCCGUAAACGAUGUCGACUUGGAGGUUGUGCCCUUGAGGCGUGGCUUCCGGAGCUAACGCGUUAAGUCGACCGCCUGGGGAGUACGGCCGCAAGGUUAAAACUCAAAUGAAUUGACGGGGGCCCGCACAAGCGGUGGAGCAUGUGGUUUAAUUCGAUGCAACGCGAAGAACCUUACCUGGUCUUGACAUCCACGGAAGUUUUCAGAGAUGAGAAUGUGCCUUCGGGAACCGUGAGACAGGUGCUGCAUGGCUGUCGUCAGCUCGUGUUGUGAAAUGUUGAGUUAAGUCCCGCAACGAGCGCAACCCUUAUCCUUUGUUGCCAGCGGUCCGGCCGGGAACUCAAAGGAGACUGCCAGUGAUAAACUGGAGGAAGGUGGGGAUGACGUCAAGUCAUCAUGGCCCUUACGACCAGGGCUACACACGUGCUACAAUGGCGCAUACAAAGAGAAGCGACCUCGCGAGAGCAAGCGGACCUCAUAAAGUGCGUCGUAGUCCGGAUUGGAGUCUGCAACUCGACUCCAUGAAGUCGGAAUCGCUAGUAAUCGUGGAUCAGAAUGCCACGGUGAAUACGUUCCCGGGCCUUGUACACACCGCCCGUCACACCAUGGGAGUGGGUUGCAAAAGAAGUAGGUAGCUUAACCUUCGGGAGGGCGCUUACCACUUUGUGAUUCAUGACUGGGGUGAAGUCGUAACAAGGUA